UGAGACUAAAACAGACCCUGUCACUCAC
This 28-nucleotide non-coding RNA is filed under the name Mus musculus (house mouse). Lineage: Eukaryota; Metazoa; Chordata; Mammalia; Rodentia; Muridae. The record is from RNAcentral.